AGAGUUUGAUCCUGGCUCAGGACGAACGCUGGCGGCGUGCCUAACACAUGCAAGUCGAACGGACUUAGAGGUGCUUGCACCUCGAAAGUUAGUGGCGGACGGGUGAGUAACGCGUGAGUAACCUGCCUUACAGAGGGGGAUAACAUCUGGAAACGGACGCUAAUACCGCAUAACAUAUUGAUAUGGCAUCAUGUUGAUAUCAAAGGGAAUAACCGCUGUAAGAUGGACUCGCGUCUGAUUAACUAGUUGGUAAGGUAACGGCUUACCAAGGCGACGAUCAGUAGCCGAACUGAGAGGUUGAUCGGCCACAUUGGGACUGAGACACGGCCCAGACUCCUACGGGAGGCAGCAGUGGGGGAUAUUGCACAAUGGGGGGAACCCUGAUGCAGCAACGCCGCGUGAGGGAAGAAGGUUUUCGGAUUGUAAACCUCUGUCUUUGGUGACGAUAAUGACGGUAGCCAAGGAGGAAGCUCCGGCUAACUACGUGCCAGCAGCCGCGGUAAUACGUAGGGAGCGAGCGUUGUCCGGAAUUACUGGGUGUAAAGGGUGCGUAGGCGGGAUAGCAAGUCAGGCGUGAAAUCCAUCGGCUUAACCGGUGAACUGCGCUUGAAACUGUAAUUCUUGAGUGAAGUAGAGGCAGGCGGAAUUCCGAGUGUAGCGGUGAAAUGCGUAGAUAUUCGGAGGAACACCAGUGGCGAAGGCGGCCUGCUGGGCUUUUACUGACGCUGAGGCACGAAAGCAUGGGGAGCAAACAGGAUUAGAUACCCUGGUAGUCCAUGCUGUAAACGAUGAAUGCUAGGUGUGGGGGGACUGACCCCUUCCGUGCCGGAGUAAACACAAUAAGCAUUCCACCUGGGGAGUACGACCGCAAGGUUGAAACUCAAAGGAAUUGACGGGGGCCCGCACAAGCAGUGGAGUAUGUGGUUUAAUUCGAAGCAACGCGAAGAACCUUACCAGGUCUUGACAUCCAACUAACGAAGUAGAGAUACAUUAGGUGCCCUUCGGGGAAAGUUGAGACAGGUGGUGCAUGGUUGUCGUCAGCUCGUGUCGUGAGAUGUUGGGUUAAGUCCCGCAACGAGCGCAACCCUUGCCAUUAGUUGCUACGGUAACGAGCACUCUAAUGGGACUGCCGUUGACAAAACGGAGGAAGGUGGGGACGACGUCAAAUCAUCAUGCCCCUUAUGACCUGGGCUACACACGUACUACAAUGGCCAUUAACAGAGGGAAGCGAAACCGCGAGGUAGAGCAAAACCCUAAAAAUGGUCCCAGUUCAGAUUGCAGGCUGCAACCCGCCUGCAUGAAGUCGGAAUUGCUAGUAAUCGCGGAUCAGCAUGCCGCGGUGAAUACGUUCCCGGGCCUUGUACACACCGCCCGUCACACCAUGGGAGCCGGUAAUACCCGAAGUCAGUGGUCUAACCGUAAGGAGGACGCUGCCGAAGGUAGGAUUGGCGACUGGGGUGAAGUCGUAACAAGGUAA
RNAcentral lists this ribosomal RNA (1477 nucleotides) under metagenome. RNAcentral's name for it is "bacterial SSU rRNA". It matches the Rfam family "Bacterial small subunit ribosomal RNA". The record is from RNAcentral.